AUGAACAGUUCACUGAGUUUUAAUAACAGCUCUACAGAGCAAAGAAAAACAAUAAACGCUGGGCCACAAACUAAAAACUCUCAGGCAAAAAGCUAACCCCUUCACUGCGGCUCAGAAGCAGUAACUAAAUAUUAAAUUAAUACCAGUCCUUUACAACACGGCCUGUGACCACUGGAAGUCAGAUAUAAAAGAUCGUCCAUGAUGUGUUAAGCCGGAACUGAAGGACAUUCAUCAAGCCAUACCCUUUUUAAUCCAUGAGAUACUUGAACUUCCCUGCACCCAGCAAGAUCCCAGGAUUCACUGCACAAUGGACAAGGGACCCAUCCACCAAGUGAGGAGGAGUGGGCAUGAAUGCAGCAGGGAGGGAGGAAGUCACGGGCUUAAGCUGGGAAACAUGGAACACUGGGUGAAUCUUCAUAUUUGAUGGUAGGCAAAAUCUAUAGGAGACUCUUUUGAUAGCCUUCUCCAGUAUGAAUGAUUCCAUGUAGCAAGAGGCCAACUUGUGGCUUCUCAACUCUCAAAGGAAGAUCUGUGGACCCUAGCCAUACUUUUCUCCCCUGACUUGUGAGGCCCCACCUGUUAGUGGAGCUGAUGAGCCUUCCAGGCAUAUUGUUUCUGAGUGUGCAGCAGAGAAGCCCUGGCAUGUCUCCAUGUGGGCUUCUCCUGUGCCAACUGUUCAACCAUAGGAACUGCCGCACCAAUCUCCUGAUCAGCGAAGAGUGGUGGCUGGAAUUCCUUGUGGCAUUGAAAAGGAGACAUACCAAUGGAGAACAUCUGGAGUAUUGGUCGAGACUUGGACACCGGACACAGCAACGCUUCACUGCCUGCAUUCCGCCUUGCCUGAGAAAUUGGCCUGUCAAAUCAACUGACUCCGAAGAUUAGUGUGUCUCUCACUCUGCGCUUGAGCCAUAUCCAAAUCGGGUGACAGCAAGUCUCGACCACACAAAGAUGGACCCAGCAGAGAGAGGGCAGCUGUCCUUGGCCAUGAGAUUCAUUGGUCAGAGUGAUUCACUGAGGCUCAGAUUCUACAAAUUUUAUUCUUGAAGCAGAUGCCUGAAGCAGAACCUCCAAUCAGAGGAUCCUCAUUCUGAGUGAUUCGUCUCACAGUGUCACUUGAUUGAACUACCUGUGUAUAAGCUCUCGUUUCUGUUUCUACAUGGAAGUCUUUGGCUCACAGCAUGGCACUUAUCUACCAGCAUCACUGAAGAACCUCAUUCAGGACUUCCAGCAGACACAGGUUGCUGGUGCCUCAGGGGCUGAGCCUAGAGAGAGGAGCCCUGUCACAACCAUGGAUUCGGCAGUGCUGCAGUUACGGCAAUUGCACGUGAGAUUGUGCACGUGUCAGCAAAUUAUUAUUUAAUUGUGAUAGGAUUUAACUCCAUUCAUUCUGUCACAGUAUUGGUUGAGACUUGGACACAGCAACGUUUCGCUGCCUGCAUUCCGCCUUGCCUGAGAAAUUGGACCGUCAAGUCAACUGUCUCUGAAGACUAGCAUGUCUCUCACUCCACACUUGGGCCAUAUCCAAAUCGGGUGACAGAUCAAGGUUGCCAGUUUCGCCAAACAUACUGAAGUUUAUUUUUAUGUUCCCCUUUGCAACCAGGCAUAUCUCAGUGAGGUUCAUUUGAAUAUCAUUGCAGAAUCAGAAGUGACAGAUGGAGUUCAACCCAGACAAGUGUGAAGUGAUUCAUUUUGGUAGAUCAAAUAUGAUGGCAGAAUAUAGUAUUAAUGGUAAGACUCUUGCCAGUGUGAAGGAUCAGAGGGAUCUUGGGGUCUGAGUCCAUAGGACACUCAAAGAUGCUGCACAGGUUGACUCUGUGGUUAAUAAAGCUGUCACCAAUUGUGGGAUUGAGUUUAGGAGCUGAGAGAUAAUGUUACAGCCAUAUAGGACCCUGGUCAGACCCCACUUUGAGUACUGUGCUCAGUUCUGGUCGCCUCACUAUAGGAAGUAAACACAAAGUACACUGCAGAUGCUGUGGUCAAAUCAAGACGUACAAACAAGCUGGAUGAACUCAGCGGGUUGGGCAGCAUCCGUUGAAAUGAGCAGUCAACGUUUCGGGCCGACCUGCUGAGUUCAUCCAGCUUGUUUGUACAUCUUCAGUACAGGAAGGAUGUGGAAACCAUAGAAAGGGUGCAGAGGAGGAUGCUGCCUGGAUAGGGGAGCAUGCCUUAUGAGAAUAGGUUGAGUGAAAUCGGCCUUUUCUCCUUGGAACAAUGGAGGUUGAGAGGUGACCUGAUAGUGGUGUAUAAGAUGAUGAUAAGCAUUGAUCGUGUGGAUAGUCAGAGGCUUUUUCCUAGGGCUGAAAUGGUUAGUACAAGAGGGCAUAGUUUUAAGGUGCUUGGAAGUAGGUACAGAGGAGAUGUCAGGGGUAAGUUUUUUAAGCAGAGAGUGGUGAGUGCAUGGAAUGGGCUGCCGGCGAAGGUGGUGGAGGUGGGUAUGAUAGCGUCUUUUAAGAGACUCCUGGAUAGGUAUAUGGAGCUUAGAAAAAUAGAGGGCUAUGGUUAACCCUAGGUAAUUUCUAAGGUAAGGACAUGUUCGGCACAGCUUUGUGGGCCGAAGGGCCUGUAUUGUGCUGUAGGUUUUCUAUGUUUCUAUGUUUAUAUUAUUUGUGGUUCAAAUUUCCCUUUAAACUCCACCACGUGCAAUGCUAACAUUUCCUAUUACUAUAGUGAAUUGGGGAAAAAACAAAAAACAGAAGAAAUAGGGAACUGAUUUCAUUAUGAGGACAAGAUAUCAAUUCAAAUCUCAAGACUCAGGAUUGUUUACUGUCAUUCUUCAGUACUCAAGCAUAAAGGAGAACACUAUGAUUGUUACUUUGGAUCUAAUGCAGCAUAAAAAACACAAUCAGCAUUAAAAACUCAAUAAAUAUAAAUGAAACAAUAUAUAAGUAACUGUUUGAGUGUAGCUAUAUAGACAUACAUAAGAUUAGCUUAUAUACAUAGACUGAUUGAUACUAGCUGCAGAAGUAUCUGUUUAUAAGCCCACAGUGACCAGGAAUAAUGAAGAGAUAAAGUGCCUCUUGGCAAGAGGAACACAGGAAGCAACAGGGCAAGUGGAAACACAGUAGGACAGUGACCGUGUCAGCAUAGGGAUGAAGUGUGGAGUGUAAGAGUAAAUUGGCAGAGCAUGGGAGGAUAAAUCUGUGGAGAGGAGUGGGUGAUGUGCAUGCAGUAGUGGUUGGCUGGACUAAUGGGUGGGGGUUUUGAUCAGCCUAAUGAUAACAGUUUUUAAUCAAAUAUAUAGAAAGCAACAUAUUUAAAAUUUUAACAUUUUCAAUGGUAUACUGUGUUCAUUAUUUGUAAUCGGAACUUGAGUUUUUCAUUGUUAACAAUUAUCACAGUGUUAAAUGUCUAAAUUUCUUAAUUUAAUUUUCCCUUAAUUUUUCAGAAUUCUGUAACAUUGAUGUGAAUUGUUAAUUUUGUCUUUCUGUCCAUAUUUGCUACCUCACUGCCUUUCUACCCAUUAUAAGCCAAACUAGUAGAGUCAUAGAAAAUUACAACUUAGAAACAGGCCAUUUGGCCCAUAUGGUCCAUGCUGAACCAUUUAAACUGCCUCGUCCCAUUUGCCUCCUCCGGGACCAUAGCUCUCCAUACCCUUACCAUCCAUGUGUCUAUCCAACCUUCCUUGAAAUGCUGAAAUUGAGCUGGCAUGCACCACUUGAGCUGGCAGCUCGUUCCACACUCUCACAGCCCUCUGAGUGAAGAAGUUUCCUCUCAUGUUCCCCUCAAACUUUUCUCCUUUCACCCUUAACCCAUAACCUUAGUGGAAAAAGCCUGCUUGCAGUUAUCCUGUCUAUACCCCUCAUAAUUUUGUAUUCCUCUGUCAAAUCUCCCCUCAAUCUUCUACAUUCCAUGGAAUAAAUUCCUAACCUAUCUUUCCUUGUAACUUAGCUCCUCCAGUCUUGGCAACAUCCUUGUAAAUUUUCUCUGUAUUCUUUCAAUCUUAUUUACCUCCAUGGAGAGAGAAAGAAAAAGUUAACUUCUGAGGUCAACAGAUAGUCAUUGACUUCAAAAAUUUACUCUUUCUUUCUCUCUCCACAGAUGCUGCCCAGCUUGUUAAUAUUUAUAGCACUUUUGUUUUUGUUUCAGGUUUUGGACUUAUGGAAUUUUUCCUGUUCUUUGCAGCAAAACUCUCCAUUUUCUACAAGUACAUCAUUCUACCAUUAUUGUGCAAGUAGGACACGGCUGUAGUUUCAGUUAGUUAUUCAUUCUGUUGAAAUUACUUUUUUCUUUUAUAUGUAUUUAGAACAUUACUUGCAAAUAAAGGCUUUCUGGACAGAUGUCCCAGCCUGGAGUAUUCACACUUUCCCAUCGGACUCUGACCAAUUUGUCAGAGCAGGACAAUGGCAACCCACAUUCCAACAACGUGCUCAGUAUCAUUGUCCUGCGGACAUCUUGAGUUGCUCCUUCAUUUUCAAUUCCCAGUUUACAACCAAUUCCAUGGUGCUACAUCUUCUGCCUAUAAACCGAUGCAAAAUACCUGUUUAAUUAAACUGCCUCCUUUUUUGAAGUCCUCACUAGUUCCCCAGACUCUUUCUGUUGGUUCAAUGCUUGCUUUAAUAACUUUGUAAAAUAUCUAUAUACAGUUAUCUUUUAUUUUCAUAUCUCUAGCUAGUCUUAAUAUAAAGUCCUUACUUUUUUUUCUUAAUACUUAAUUCCACAUUUAAAACUUGUUUAAUUAACUAUGGAUAGUAGGUUCUACCCUUGGGUUAAUUUUUUUUACAGGAAUAUUUCUAUUCUGGGUAUGCUGAAAGCUCCCCUUAAAUGACUACAUUGCAUCUUUUGAGUUGCUGGUUUGGAGAGAUAAUGGUACUAUGUGAAACUGGUGGGGAUUCUGCUUCAAUCUCUUUAGUAGCAUAUCGAGCCUUUCCUUAAUGAUUAGAUUUGUGAAUAUUAAAUUCGAAUCAGCAUUGGAAUCAAGUUUAUUCUUGUGAAAUUUAUUGUUUCGAGGCAGCAGUAAACUACAUAAACUUUAGUAUAAGUUACAACAAUAAAUAAUAAACAAACAGUGUGAAAGAGGAAUAGUGACAUUGUUCUCUUGGAAUGUCCAGAAAUUUGAUGGUAGAGGGGAAGAAGCUGUUCCUAAAACAUUGAGUGUGGGUCCUCAGGCUCCUGGACCUCCUCCUUGAUAGUAUUAUUAAUAAGAGGCCAUUCUCGGAUGGUGAGGGCCCUUAAUGAUGGACACCUCCUUCGUGUGACACGAAGAUGUCCUCAAUGGUGGGGAAGAUUGUGCCCAUGAUGCAGUUGGCUGCAGCCUCUUUUGAUCUGCAUUGGAGCCUCCAUACCAGGUGCUGAUGCAACCUGUCAGAAUGCUCUCCAUUGUACAUCUGUAGAAAUUUGCGAGAAUCCUUGGUGACCUACCAAAUCUCCUCAAACUCCUAAUGAAGUAGAGCCUCUGGACUGUCUUUCUCCUGAUUUUAUUAACAUGUUUUGCCUGGGAUCGAGCCUCUGGGAUGCUAAUGCCCAAGAACUAGAAUCUGCACUUAUUUUACCCAAAAAUAAUUGAUGAAAUGAGCCCUAUCUAUUCUGUGGGAAAGGGGUAUGAAAGACUGUAAAUAACAUAUUUAGCGUAAAAGAAUAAAAAAUAAAGCUAUAAUGGUGGCUACCAAUGAUUUGUAAUUGUUGGUGUCCUCUCAAUCAAAUCAUAUUGUUAGUGAGGACUAGUAUUAGAAUCUAAUUAGUUAUGGUGUAAAAUCUAUUAAGUGUUGUGUCUGUGCACAACUACAUAUCAAUUAGACAAAAGCAUGCAUGGGGGAGAUGGCUUUAAUUGGCAUAUUCAAAUUGCAGUGAGAGAGCAAUGCACAUGUAUGGACAACAGUGCAUGCACAGACAACAGGUCAAUGCGUAAUGCUAAGGGGGGGGGUGUGUCAUUGCUCUAAUAGAUCCAUACAUUACAAUAAGAUGCAGUGCUAAGCCACAGAUAUAAGGCUUACAUAAUACUUGCAAAACUUUAAGACAGAUUGAUAUCUCAAAGGACAUCACAUAUCUUUUGCUAGAUAAAAGGAUGUAAAAAAAUUUUGAAACAGUUAGCUUAGUUUUAAUUAGCUGAAUUAUUAUUGCUUUGUGAAAUAUAUUGGAAUGAUUUUUUCAUUACCAUAAUCCACAGUUGAGAAAACCUUAUCUUUCUUAUUGGUUGAAUCCAAUAUUGUAAUUAAAUGUUGCUCAGGACUUUUGAAUUGAAGAUUCGGUUAGUUAAUUAAAAUAAAAAGCGAACAAAAAUCAGCAACUGAGACAUUGUGUCUCAGGUCUCUGAGCUUUCUUUUGGGGUAGCAAUAAGGAACAUCUUAAUGACAUCUGCUAGAGUCUGGCUAGGUAGAGAUGUCGCUUUCUGCCCAAGCAAUCCUUGACAGAUUGUGAACUACAGUGGCAUUACAGGUUAGUCUUUAUUUCAUCUCACAUUCACAUGCUUGGGAUGCAGGUAAGCCUGGUGUAAAUUAAUCUUUUAACACAGAGGCUUAAAAUCUCAGCAGGUAUAGCACAUCUGGAAGGCCAUAAAAUUUAUUAUUCAUCUGGUUCUAUAAAGUGAUAUUCAGUUAAUGCUCAGUGUAUGUAUCAAUUCCUUGCAUCCUUAGCAAACAUCGUAAGUCUGCUUGUUGUACAGCUUGGAGAAAUUAUUAUCCCAUUGUGACCAAGACUGGCUAUGAUGGGUGAGGUGAUCUCAUUCUCAAGUUAAGCUUAAAUAUUUCAAGUCUAUUAGUACUCAACACAAAUAUAUUCUCAGUGGCCACUUUAUUAGGUACACCUGUACACCUGCUCGUUAAUGCAAUUAUCUUAUCAGCCAAACAUAUGGCAGCAAAUCAAUGCAUAAAAGCAUGCAGACAUUGUCAAGAGGUUCAAUUGUUGUUCAGACCAAACAUCAAAAUGGGGAAGAAAUGUGACCUAAGUGACUUUAACCAUGGAUUGUUGGUGGCAGAUGGUUUGGUAUCUUAGCAACUGCUUAUCUCCUGGGAUUUUCACACACAACAGAGUCUAGAGUUUACAGAGAAUGGUGCAAAAAAAACAACAAAAGAAAUCCAGUGAGUUGGAAUUCUAUUGGUGAAAAUGCCUUAAGGCACCUUGUUAAUGAGAAAAGUCAGAGGAGAAUGGCCAGACUCAUUCAAACUGGCAGGGAGGUGGCAAAAACUCAAAUAGCGACAUGUUACAACAGCCGCAUACAGAGCAUCUGUGAAUGCACAGCGUAUCAAAUCUUGAAGUGGAUUGGCUACAGCAGCAGUAGACUGCACCAGGUUCCACUUCUGUACCUAAUAAAGUGGCCACUGAGUGUAGAGUACAAUAUUCUGGUGUAAAAUCAUGCUUAGGGUAGAAAAUUUGGCACAGACUAAAUUGCAUGCAACACAUUAUCAUAUCAGAUAUAACAAUACAGCUUCUUCAUCACUAAAGACUAGGAGUUUGAUUUCCCUAUUUUGUAGCAAGUU
This is a long non-coding RNA of Hypanus sabinus (Atlantic stingray), 7412 nucleotides long. RefSeq lists it as uncharacterized. The transcript is spliced from 3 exons. The record is from RefSeq and is a predicted model, not a curated record. NCBI's taxonomy places the organism in Eukaryota, Metazoa, Chordata, Chondrichthyes, Myliobatiformes, Dasyatidae.